CCUACGGGAGGCAGCAGUGGGGAAUAUUGGGCAAUGGGCGCAAGCCUGACCCAGCAACGCCGCGUGAAGGAAGAAGGCUUUCGGGUUGUAAACUUCUUUUAAGAGGGAAGAGCAGAAGACGGUACCUCUUGAAUAAGCCACGGCUAACUACGUGCCAGCAGCCGCGGUAAUACGUAGGUGGCAAGCGUUGUCCGGAUUUACUGGGUGUAAAGGGCGUGCAGCCGGGAAGACAAGUCAGAUGUGAAAUCCCGCGGCUCAACCGCUGAACUGCAUUUGAAACUGUUUUUCUUGAGUACCGGAGAGGUCAUCGGAAUUCCUUGUGUAGCGGUGAAAUGCGUAGAUAUAAGGAAGAACACCAGUGGCGAAGGCAGAUGACUGGACGGCAACUGACGGUGAGGCGCGAAAGCGUGGGGAGCAAACAGGAUUAGAUACCCUUGUAGUC
Molecule: ribosomal RNA, 442 nt
Filed under: uncultured bacterium
Lineage: Bacteria
Description: partial 16S ribosomal RNA
Rfam family: Bacterial small subunit ribosomal RNA
Source: RNAcentral